Molecule: long non-coding RNA, 1237 nt
Filed under: Androctonus crassicauda
Lineage: Eukaryota; Metazoa; Arthropoda; Arachnida; Scorpiones; Buthidae
Source: RNAcentral
ACUUUGAAGCUUGUUUUUUGUGUUUUUCUUUCGUUUCCCGAACCUGGUCUGUUUACUAUAUAUGUUUAUGAUCAGUGACAGAAAAUAAGGAAUAAUGUGUUAAAAAAGGAUGAUUACAAUUUAAUUUGUCAUUGUUAAUACUAUGGAAGAUUGAAGAGACUAUGGAACAAUACUAUGGAAGAUAGGCAGCCACUUUUACAGUAAACAUAGUUACCACAUCAGAUAUAGUAUAUCCUAUGUGAGUCAGUUGAAUAGCCACAGUGGAAUGUGCUGUACUUUCAGCUUGGAGGAUUAGAGUUCAAUUCCUGGGUCCUACACCUCUAAUUUUUUAAAAGAGUCUGGGCCUGGCUCAAACUUCCAUCUUUUACCUUGAUACUGACUCCACUGGGAAUGAGAGUGGCCUUCUGAUGGCAUAUCUCAGAUAAUGAAGAUUUUAUGCAAUUCUUUAAUUAUAGUUUGCCCUUUGGGAAAGUGGAUUCCAAAUAAGAAUUACUUCAAAUUAGUGGUGAACUUUGAAUGGAUCUUUUAUGUGAUGAGGCAUGAGUUUCCAAGCCCAGCACAUAAAAAACACUUGAAUAGGCAUGUCCCACCAAGUGGAAGCAGCAUAAAACCAUACAGAAAUAUAUUCCAUGCAUACAUAAUAUAUUUCAUAACAUAUUUCAUUCCAUGUGCAAUACAGCAGCUUAAUUAUAAUUAAUUUUAAUCUAAACUAGUCAAUUAGACCAUUUAAAUUUAUUAAAACAUCAUUAGGCUUAAUUUCUGCUGAUUAUUAAAAUACACAUAUUUGACUAAGAUUGAAGAAUAUGAUAGUGAACUUUAAAAUCAAUACAAACUCUGGGAAUUGUUGGGCUAAAAAGUUUCAACUUGUACAGAUAUUAAUAAUGAAGCCUAAAACAAUGAAACAAGUAUGCUUAAUAGUAAAGUCUGGUCAGCUGAUGGCUGUGGGGCAAGUGUGCUAUGCUUUAAUCUGAAAGAUCUUAGAUUCAAUUUCUAGAUCCCGUGCCUACAAAAGUUUUUCAGGAGCUGAGUGCAGCUCCUAAUUGAAAUCUUUGUGUCAUUUCUUUCAGUCUAUUGCUCAACAUUUGCCUUAUUUGUUGAUAUUAGUGGACAGCCAAUGUUCAAAUCAUCAAUGAUAUUGUAACUAUCACAAAAAUGCUUAUUUCACUCGUACACUUGAAUUUUUUCAUAAUCAUAUUAUGAAUGAUAAAUUGAAUUUUAUAUUUCUUUUUAAAUUCAA